Molecule: ribosomal RNA, 523 nt
Filed under: Clostridioides difficile
Lineage: Bacteria; Bacillati; Bacillota; Clostridia; Peptostreptococcales; Peptostreptococcaceae
Description: partial 23S ribosomal RNA
Rfam family: Bacterial large subunit ribosomal RNA
Source: RNAcentral
UGCGUAAUAGCUCACUGGUCGAGUGAUCCUGCGCCGAAGAUUUCCGGGGCUAAAACUUACUACCGAAGCUACGGCAUCAGUAAUGAUGGGUAGGGGAGCUUCCCAUACGGGUUGAAGCAUGAUCGUAAGGACAUGUGGACAGUAUGGGAGUGAGAAUGUUGGCAUGAGUAGCGAGAUGUGGGUGAGAAUCCCACAGGCCGUAAACCCAAGGUUUCCAGGGGAAGGUUCGUCCGCCCUGGGUUAGUCGGGACCUAAGCUGAGGCCGAAAGGCGUAGGUGAUGGACAACAGGUUGAUAUUCCUGUACUACCGAUAACCGUUUGAGAGAAGGGAUGACACAGUAGGAUAAGCUAAGCACACUGUUGGUUAUGUGUGCCCAAGCAUUGAGGCAGUCAAAGUAGGUAAAUCCGCUUUGAUAAUGCUGGGAUGUGAUGGGGAGCGAAAUUUAGUAGCGAAGUAGCUGAUUUCACACUGUCAAGAAAAGUCUCUAUCGAGGUUAAAGGUACCCGUACCGCAAACCGACAC